GAUGAAGAACGCAGCGAAAUGCGAUACGUAAUGUGAAUUGCAAAUUCAGUGAAUCAUCGAGUCAUUGAACGCACAUUGCGCCCCCUGGUAUUCCGGGGGGCAUGCCUGUCCGAGCGUCAUUGCUGCCCUCAAGCACGGCUUGUGUGUUGGGCCCCGUCCUCCGAUCCCGGGGGACGGGCCCGAAAGGCAGCGGCGGCACCGCGUCCGGUCCUCGAGCGUAUGGGGCUUUGUCACCCACUCUGUAGGCCCGGCCGGCGCUUGCCGAUCAACCCAAAUUUUUAUCCAGGUUGACCUCGGAUCAGGUAGGGAUACCCGCUGAACUUAAGCAUAUCAAUAAGCGGAGGA
This 345-nucleotide unclassified non-coding RNA is filed under the name soil metagenome. RNAcentral describes it as "partial contains 5.8S ribosomal RNA, internal transcribed spacer 2, and large subunit ribosomal RNA". The stretch from base 1 to 119 matches the Rfam family "5.8S ribosomal RNA", at positions 35 to 154 of the family's 154-position model. The record is from RNAcentral.